This 406-nucleotide ribosomal RNA is filed under the name uncultured cyanobacterium. RNAcentral describes it as "bacterial SSU rRNA". It matches the Rfam family "Bacterial small subunit ribosomal RNA", at positions 365 to 788 of the family's 1533-position model. The record is from RNAcentral. Lineage: Bacteria; Bacillati; Cyanobacteriota.
UCCGCAAUGGGCGCAAGCCUGACGGAGCAAGACCGCGUGAGGGAGGAAGGUCUGUGGAUUGUAAACCUCUUUUCACAGGGAAGAUGAUGACGGUACCUGAGGAAUCAGCAUCGGCUAACUCCGUGCCAGCAGCCGCGGUAAUACGGAGGAUGCAAGCGUUAUCCGGAAUUAUUGGGCGUAAAGCGUCCGUAGGUGGUUGUACAAGUCUGCUGUCAAAGCGCGAGGCUUAACUUCGUAAAGGCAGUAGAAACUGUAGAGCUAGAGUGCGGUAGGGGUAGAGGGAAUUCCCAGUGUAGCGGUGAAAUGCGUAGAUAUUGGGAAGAACACCGGUGGCGAAAGCGCUCUACUGGGCCUGCACUGACACUGAGGGACGAAAGCUAGGGGAGCGAAAGGGAUUAGAUACCCC